GGGUGUUUGGUCUAGUAGUAUGAUUCUUGUUUCGGGUGCAAGAGACUUUUAGUUCAAUUUUCACAACACCCC
This is a transfer RNA of Ipomoea nil (Japanese morning glory), 72 nucleotides long. It matches the Rfam family "tRNA". From Rfam's summary of the family: Transfer RNA (tRNA) molecules are approximately 80 nucleotides in length. Lineage: Eukaryota; Viridiplantae; Streptophyta; Magnoliopsida; Solanales; Convolvulaceae. The record is from Rfam.